This 253-nucleotide ribosomal RNA is filed under the name uncultured bacterium. RNAcentral's name for it is "partial 16S ribosomal RNA". It matches the Rfam family "Bacterial small subunit ribosomal RNA", at positions 524 to 776 of the family's 1533-position model. The record is from RNAcentral.
GACGUAGGGCGCGAGCGUUGUCCGGAUUUAUUGGGCGUAAAGAGCUCGUAAGCGGCUUGUCGCGUCGUCCGUGAAAACCUGCAGCUCAACUGCAGGCUUGCGGUCGAUACGGGCAGGCUAGAGUUCGGUAGGGGAGACUGGAAUUCCUGGUGUAGCGGUGAAAUGCGCAGAUAUCAGGAGGAACACCGGUGGCGAAGGCGGGUCUCUGGGCCGAUACUGACGCUGAGGAGCGAAAGCGUGGGGAGCGAACAGG